Molecule: ribosomal RNA, 487 nt
Filed under: uncultured bacterium
Lineage: Bacteria
Description: bacterial SSU rRNA
Rfam family: Bacterial small subunit ribosomal RNA
Source: RNAcentral
GACGAACGCUGGCGGCGUGCUUAACACAUGCAAGUCGAACGGAACUCUUUGGAUCGAGACUUCGGUCAAGUGAAUCUGAGUUUAGUGGCGGACGGGUGAGUAACGCGUGAGGAACCUGCCUUUCAGAGGGGGACAACAGUUGGAAACGACUGCUAAUACCGCAUAACGCAUAUUGAUCGCAUGGUCGAUAUGCCAAAGAUUUAUCGCCGAAAGAUGGCCUCGCGUCUGAUUAGUUAGUUGGUAGGGUAACGGCUCACCAAGUCGACGAUCAGUAGCCGACCUGAGAGGGUGAUCGGCCACAUUGGAACUGAGACACGGUCCAAACUCCUACGGGAGGCAGCAGUGGGGAAUAUUGCACAAUGGGCGAAAGCCUGAUGCAGCAACGCCGCGUGAGCGAUGAAGGCCUUCGGGUCGUAAAGCUCUGUCCUCAAGGAAGAUAAUGACGGUACUUGUAGGAGGAAGCCCGGCUAACUACGUGCCAGCAGCC